UUCAUUUCAAAGGUUUAUUUGCAUGACGCACAAACACACAAUUGAAAGGUACAAAUGUGCAUGACACGAAUUCAAACGUGCUGCAGAUGUGUGUCACCAGUUGAUCUGGCUGUAGGCUGUGGCACUUGGCCAGAGGUGGCGCUGGUUGACUCGACUCCAUGUUGGUGCACAGAGCAAACUGCUCGCUUUAGUUGUGGAGCAAAAACGCUGAAUUCGGUGACAUAAACCGUGCGAGUGGAACGAUAACGACGACAAGAGUCUCCCGAUCGUUUACUCUUUGUGUCCUGUGAACAACAACGGCGUGGUGUUACUUGUUUGCUGUUUUCGCGAUCGCGUCGCGCAUGAGGAUAUCACCAGCAGCUCCUGAAACGCAAGACUGCCACACAUCUGUUCGACCAACGCCAGUUGAUCUAAACGCCAGUUGAUCUGGAACAACGGCAGAUGCUUUUGGACCUUCGUUUUUCUCAAUCUCAUGACUCGGACUCACGAUGGACCUUUGGAGGCGCCAGCUUGAUGCGCUCGGUCUCAAUCACCAGCGUAUCCUGCCUGCCGCAAGAAACGCUACAGGAAGCGGGGUAAACGGAGCGGCAUUCGUGUCCGCCUUAAGGCUUAUUUUCGAGCUCAAGCUUUGGCUGAUCCAUAUGCUACCAUGGACCUUCUACCUACCUCUUCCUGCUCCCGGCACCGGCUUUCUACUCGAUCACUCAGCUGUCGGUGGAUUUGCUUCGCCGGGCAGCUAGACUACCCCGCCCUCCCAGAGGCAUGCCUACCUAUUCGGACCAUUGACUGUAGAAAACAUGGACGACGCGACAGCUCCCCAAAAAUGAAGCCAAAACGUCUCUAUCGCCCCCUGGUGUCUUGCUGCAGUAUAGGUCAUAAACCCCGCCUCCUCCAUGUUAGCGGAUGGGACUGGGGUCAGACUAAAACAAAUUAAUUCUCCUUAGAUAAUUUUUUUUUCCAAAGAUUCUUUCUUUUGUUUUCAAUAGUUCUCAUCACGCUGAUUGAUGUCCAAGGGGUCUCCUCUCCCAUAAGUUUGAUUCUAAUUCCUACCGCGGUGAUGUUAAAUUGGGGUGAAACGUCAUCAUAAGAGCUUUGACUGACAGCUGCAGUCACGGAAAAACUUGCGUAUCUCUGUUCGGGAAUAGCAGAUAGAGCGUAGGCUCUGAGAGGACGCCCAGCGUUUACAGUACGAAAACACGACCGAGUGUUUUAACCUGACAGCCUGAGGUGUUCUUCAGUAAACUGGACUACCCGACAGAAGGACCCGAGGCCCCGCUGCACUUUUUCGGUUUCAUUUCUAAGUAGCCACGAUGCCAGAGAGCGAUAGACCUCAAUACACUUGGAUGUCUCUUUUAUUAAGUAAGAAAGUGAUUUUGGACUGUUUUGCACACAUCUGCAGCUGCUGCAUGGUGUCAUUUGUAACUGCAACCAUAUCGGCCUUUUUCAGGCUGUAUCUCUGUGAGCUUCUUCAUCAUGUUUAUUGUUCAGGGGAUAAUUGGUAAGUAGGAGUUGUCCUUUACUCAGACUGAAUUCAUUUACAUUCAUUUAUGUGUUGGAAGGAAAAUUUGAAAAAUCAAAUAACAUGAAUGUGUAACAACAACUUGACGGUCGUCUUCGUUUUCAUACUUGUGCUCUGUAGGAUGCAUAUACAUUCACGACUGUCCAGCGGAUCCCUUCAUUCCUAUCGCAAUGGUUAUUUCUGGAUUCAUUUCUUUCUUCUGGGCAUUGAGCUGGUGUAAGAAUGGAUGCAGAAUUUUCUGCUACUGUAUCAUCUCCAUUCUCUUUUUUAUCUGGUUCGUAGGUACUGUACAUGUCUACUGCAACUACAUCCUGAACCAUACUCCAGAAACCGAUCUCAAAUGCAACAUGUAUUUCCACCUGUUUGCAUUUUGGUGCAGUAACGUGACCUACAUCCUGAUAGCCAUUCAUAUUUCCUGUCUUAUUACUGCUUGCUGCAACAACCGGAUGGAGGCUUACGAGAUUUCUGAUGAGGCUCGGCCACUGCUGUGGCGCUAAUCAUAUCACAUAUGUAUGUAUGUAUGUAUGUAUGUAUGUAUGUAUGUAUGUAUGUAUGUAUGUAUGUUUGUUUGUUUGUUUGUUUGUUUGUUUGUAUGUUUGUUUGUUUGUUUGUUUGUUUGUUUGUUUGUUUGUUUCCCAUCUCCCCUUAGACAAGUGGACCAAUACUGAUGAGAAAGAUUAGAAUGGGGUCACAAUAAAAUAUAUCACACAGUAAUAAACAUAUACUACUACAACUACAAAUAAUAAUGACACUGACUAAAAUAAAAUCAUAAGCAAACAACAGGAAAAAUAUACUAAUAUUUUCAUGUGUGCUUUAUUUAGAACAUCAUAUAUUUAAUGUUGGUUAAUCUAGCAACAUGUAGUUUUUGAUCUUUUGUUAGAGAAAUCUUAUGAUUAACAAUUCAUGUUUAAUCUUUAGAGGUAGAGAUUUGAUAGGGUGUUCUUUUCUAAUAUUUUCAUGUGUGUGCGCAUGCACGGGUAUGUUGGUAUGGGUAUAUAUAUAAUUGUAGGUUGUGUAUCCUUGAGGUGUUAAUGGGGUUAUUGAAAAUGUGUAUAUGUGCGUAUGUGUGUAUAUACGUAUGUAUGGAUAGAUAGAAACAUAUAUGUGUAUAUAUUUAAAAAAAAUUACACAUUACAUAUAAUGUAAUUGCAAGGAGGUAUUUCUGUAGUCUAUUGAUACUAGAUAGUGGAAAAGGGGUGGGAUUAAAUAAGCUUAUGCUUCUUCCUGCUCCUUUUUGAACAUGGACGUUAUUUGGAGUUGUGGUUGCUCGUUUUCCUUUUGUUUGCUUUGUUCAUUUGUCUCUUUUAAUUCUAUUUUUUUUAUACUUUUUCAACAUGUUCAAAAUAAAGAAUCAAUCAAUCAA
Long non-coding RNA from Astatotilapia calliptera (eastern happy), 2882 nucleotides. Lineage: Eukaryota; Metazoa; Chordata; Actinopteri; Cichliformes; Cichlidae. The record is from Ensembl.